CUCUGAUGUGCCAGACAGUUACACCGUUAACUCACAACAGUGCUGUGAAGUGGGUGACGCACACUGGGAUGGGCCCCCGUUGGCCAGGACGCUGUCUUCCCUGAGUUCUGCCUACUCCCUGCCUAGCAGUUGAAGCCAGGACUUAAGUCAGACACUGCCUAGUGUGAACACUGGUUUGACCCUCAGUGUUUAAAAACAAUCUGACGUGAAAGACCUCAAUGGCGCCCACAGGGGUCUGUGUCAGCACACCUGGACCAGGCCAGAGCAAUGGCCCCCACCAGCGUCUCAGUCUCCGGAGAGGUCCUUCCUCUCACCAGGAUGCCCCCAGAGCCCACCAGCCUUGAACACAGAUGAGAUGCCUGGAACGCUGUCUUGCAACCAUGAGGUGACUUUCUUGAGGGCAAGAGGCCAACAUUCUUACUAGAAUGGUGAAGUGGAAGGUGGAAGGAGCCUAGAUCCUCGAAGACACCAUUGGGCCACCACACCAGUUCCAGAACACCACUUCCCAGCCUCGUGUUAAAUGAGAAAAACAACCUCCGUCUAUUUAAGCCAGAUUUCCUGUGAACUGUGGACGAAAGCAUUUCUCCCUGAUACACCCAUUGCUGUUAAGGGCAAAUGAGUAUAUAUGGGAUUGUGCUUUGGAAGCUGGGAACCAACAGAAACAUUUCAGGUGACAUUUGCUCGUCAAUUAAAUAUGAAAUUAAUUUAAAAAAUAAAUA
RNAcentral lists this long non-coding RNA (719 nucleotides) under Equus caballus (horse). RNAcentral describes it as "lncRNA (ENSECAG00000057992.1)". Lineage: Eukaryota; Metazoa; Chordata; Mammalia; Perissodactyla; Equidae. The record is from RNAcentral.